Molecule: non-coding RNA, 1751 nt
Organism: Hydra vulgaris (swiftwater hydra)
Lineage: Eukaryota; Metazoa; Cnidaria; Hydrozoa; Anthoathecata; Hydridae
Source: RefSeq, a predicted model, not a curated record
UAUAUAAGUAACAAUUAUAAAAUCAUGAAAUUAUAUAUAUUUAUUAUAAAUUACAUUAAUUUUAAUGCCUGGUUGAUAUUUGUUUUGACAAAUAAUAAUCUUUUCAUCAUCUUAAACAUCUUUCAGAAAAUUAGAUUUACCAAAAUUAAAUUUUGUGGUUUCUUCUACUUUUGUUUUAGAGACAAGAUUGUUGUCUUAGAAAACAGGAGAAAAGAUUUGAACAAACAUCGGAACCGUUUAAGUACAAAUUUGGUUUUAAAAAGAGGAGGUAUUUGAUAUAAGUCAAAACAAUUGUGAAGAUAUUAUUAUGAUAGAUAAAACUAAAGAUUUAAAAACUAGAAAAGAAGAUGUAGAUUUUCAUAACGACCAGAAAGGAGCGUGUGUUCAGAAAAUGUUAGGUCAAGAUAAAAUUUCACAAAAAAUUGUAAAAAACAAAACAAAAAGAGAAAUAAAAAAAACAAAAAAUCAAAGAACAAAAGAGCCCAUGAGAAAACAGAAAGAGUUGGUUACUGAGAACUUUGAAAACACAACAGAAAUUUUAAAUACUUUCAAUAAUGACCAAGAUGAACAGUAUCUACAGCCUUCUAGAAAAGUUAAAAAAAUCUAAUGCUGUAGCUCUUAUUGUUCCAAAAAAUAUAGGAAAAUAUUUAGCUCCAACAGCAUCAGGAUAUGGAAUAAGUUCUACUGCACUGAGUGCAACUCUCGCUUCUCUAAUAAAUAACAGUUCUGGAACAAUAGAUAAUUUUUGUAUAUCUAAACGAAGUAUUUUGAGACAGAAAAAAUUAAGUAUAAGUAAAACUGCCUGUAAAAUUAAAGACAACUUUAUUAUAUUGGUUAAGGAUAAAAAUCUUACUGUACAUUUUGAUUCGAAAAUUAUGGUAAAAAUGAAAGAACUUGGUAAAGAAAAAGUUAAAAGAGUAGCUGUACUAAUCAGUUCACCAGAUCUUUUAGAAUCACAACUUUUGGGUAUUUUAAUUGUGAAAGAUGGCACUGCUGAGUCUCUUGAAAAAGCAAUUAAAAAAACUUUUUAAGACUGGGAGCUAUUUGACUAUGUUGAUUGUCUGUCCUUUGACACCACAGUCACAAAUACUGGUUGGCUAAAAGGGGUCUGUACUCUAAUUGAGCAGUGGAGAGGAAAAGCUUUGUUUUGGAUGGCUUGUCGUCAUCAUGUCUAUGAAUUACAUAUAAAGCACUUUUCAAGUGUUCUUACUGGUGGUAAAACAAGCGGACCAAAGGCUGAGUUAUUUGAAAGACUGAAGUGUAAUUGGAAAUUGAUUCUUGAAAAAAAAGAUAAACUAUGAUAACCUAAAGAGAUUUGACUCAGAAAAAAAAUUAGUAUCUUUUUUGGAAAAACAGGCUUCUGAAUCAUUAACAUUCCUUCAAAUUUGCCUUGAUAAUGAUAUGUUUCCAAGAAAUGACUACAAGUAUUUUAUACAAUUAGCAGUUCUUUGGUUAGGUGGUAAAGUAAAAAAUUUUCACUUUAGAUUUCCAAUGGCUUCGCAUCAUGCCAGCUUUAUGGCACAGGGAGUUUAUUUUUUAACAUAUGACCUUCUUCAGCGACAAUUCAGUAACUUAUGUUCUAAUAUAAUAUCAUUGCAAGAGGGAAAGCUGAUUCAUGAAAUUGAUUCAUUUACAGCACUAUUUUAUGUUACAUGGUUUAUUAGAGCUCCUUUCCCUGCCAUAGCACCUUCUUUAGAUCUAAAAGCUGUUUUUUUUUUUUUUUUUUUUUUAUUUGCCCUUACUCCCAACAA